CCUGAACGCUGGCGGCGUGGCUAAGACAUGCAAGUCGCACGGGACCCGGCAAGGGUUCAGUGGCGAACGGGUGAGUAAUGAAUCGCUAAUGUGCCCCGGACUCUGAGAUAGCUACCCGAAAGGGUAGGUAAUAUCAGAUGAUAUAACCGAACCGCAUGGUUUGGUUCUCAAAGGUCCGCCGGUCUGGGAGCAGGCGAUUUCGUAUCAGCUAGUUGGUGAGGUAACGGCNCACCAAGGCGACGACGCGUAGCCGGACUGAGAGGUUGGCCGGCCACAUUGGGACUGAGACACUGCCCAGACUCCUACGGGGGCUGCAGUAACGAAUCUUCCGCAAUGCACGAAAGUGUGACGGAGCGACGCCGCGUGUAGGACGAAG
Molecule: ribosomal RNA, 376 nt
Filed under: uncultured bacterium
Lineage: Bacteria
Description: bacterial SSU rRNA
Rfam family: Bacterial small subunit ribosomal RNA
Source: RNAcentral